AAUCAACGCUGGCGGCGUGCCUCAGACAUGCAAGUCGAACGAUUAAAGCUCUCUUCGGAGAGUGCAUAGAGUGGCGCACGGGUGAGUAACACGUAAGUAAUCUACCCUCGAGUGGGGAAUAACGUCCGGAACGGACGCUAAUACCGCAUAAUGCAGCGGCACCGCAAGGUGACAGUUGUUAAAGAUUUAUCGCUUGAGGAGGAGCUUGCGGCAGAUUAGCUAGUUGGUAAGGUAAUGGCUUACCAAGGCUACGAUCUGUAACCGGUCUAAGAGGACGGUCGGUCACACUGGACACUGAAUAACGGGUCAGACUCCUACGGGAGGCAGCAGUCGGGAAUUUUGGGC
RNAcentral lists this ribosomal RNA (345 nucleotides) under uncultured bacterium. Its description in RNAcentral is "bacterial SSU rRNA". It matches the Rfam family "Bacterial small subunit ribosomal RNA", at positions 32 to 369 of the family's 1533-position model. The record is from RNAcentral.